Molecule: transfer RNA, 73 nt
Filed under: Clostridiales bacterium
Lineage: Bacteria; Bacillati; Bacillota; Clostridia; Eubacteriales
Also listed under: 5 other names
Description: tRNA-Lys
Rfam family: tRNA
About the family: Transfer RNA (tRNA) molecules are approximately 80 nucleotides in length.
Source: RNAcentral
GGAUCGUUAGCUUAGUUGGUAGAGCAUCAGACUCUUAAUCUGAGGGUCCUGGGUUCGAGUCCCAGACGGUUCA